RNAcentral lists this long non-coding RNA (4185 nucleotides) under Homo sapiens (human). Its description in RNAcentral is "HSALNT0174460". The record is from RNAcentral. Lineage: Eukaryota; Metazoa; Chordata; Mammalia; Primates; Hominidae.
GGAAACAUUUUUCAUCUCAUGUACCAUAUUGUCUGGCCACCUUAACAAUAUUUAUAAAACCAAAUAUUCACAAUAAUUAAAUACAUGCAUAACUAAAAAUUUCAAAAGUGUUUUAGAAAUUAAAAGAAAUAGUACAUAUAAUGUGUUUAUGUCAGUGCUAAAUUAUUAAUAUUAUUACUUAUCAAUUAUCAACAAAAGAGGUUAAGGUGAUAUGGCAGUUAUGAUCAUCAGGGUGAAAAUUCUCAGAUUUUUCAGUACAAGUUCUCCUGGGCUUGGAUUUUUCUCUUUGUCUUUUCAUUCUCUGUCUCUUUUUCUCUCCCUGCUCUGUCUCUCUCUCCAACACACACAUGCUGUCUCUCUCUCUCUCUCUCUGUUUGCAUAAAUGUAAGCAUUGGUCACACUGAACAGGUUUCUAAAGUGAUGGUAAGCUAAUAAUAAGUACACGGUCCUACGUGAUCUUAAAAAUCAGGUAUGUCUUUCCUAAUGUCUCACUAAGAGCUCCUGUACCAGGCAAAAUGAUGGUCUUCAGAAAGAAGGCAUCUGUAUAAGAACAUCCAGCCUGCUUUUACAUUCUGGGCUCAGGAAUCAGUAAGAAAGGAGGCAGUAUGGGAGCAGCAUAUUGUCUAUAACGUCUCUAAAAUUUCCUUGCCAUUUGUGUUUAAUGAAACCUAGUGGGUUUCUAGUAGAUGCUUCCAACAGUCUCUUGGAAUAUGGAUUAUACUGAACUAUCUUGGUCUGAUAAUUUAAUAUAUUAUAAUGGAGGGGCAUUUCAAAAGAGCAAUAGGAUGCUUCAAUUUUAAGGUCCUGUUUCUAACCUCACUUUUUAUUCAUAGGUUACUCUCUCUGGUUAAAUCACUUAAUAUUGCUAGACUUUGUUUUUCUCACCUGUAGUUUAACAAUGUUGAAGGCUAGAUAAACAGGUAUUGUCCAUGUCCAACCAUCUAUGAUUAUAUGAUUAUUUUAAUAACUUCUGAAAUCUCUCUCUCUGUCUUUCUCUCUAUAUAUAUAUGUGUGUGUGUGUGUGUGUGUGCGUGUGUGUAUCUGUAUCUAUCUGUCUAUCUAUCUAUCUAAAGAUAGGCAGGGACCCUAAAACUCACACAUUAUGCUUUUCCAAUGGAUUUUGCCAUGAAAGCUUUGUUUUACAUGAUGACAUGAUAUUAAAAUUUCUCAAAGGGUAAAGCUUUGAGUUCAACCUUCUAUUUUAAAUCUAAGACUACAUACACAUAUACUAUAGAAAAUACAUUUCUGCAGUAGCUGAACUUCCAAGUCUAAAAUCAAUGAGGCAAAGCUGCUUUAUUGAGUUAUUCCAAUAAUACCUAUCUGCUUUUAAAGGGGCCUUUGUCUAAUGAUAGUAAGAAUUGUAGAGCCAAGAAGAAUAAUAUACUUCAUCAGAUCUAAACCAUUAUUUCACAAAUGAGAACAUUUUUAUCUCAUUAUCCUUAUGCCAGCUUGGAUUUGGUUUAACCUGAGAUCAUCUCACUGUAUUGCUGUCACUAUUAUUACAGGAUGUAGGGAACAAGCAUAUAUUGACCACAUACUAUGUUAAACACUGUGAUAGACAAUUGCACACCAUUACCUUUGUACUUCCCAGUUUCAAAGCAAGGUAGAUAUUAAUAUCACCUUUUACAGAGAAAGGAAUCAAAGCCUACAUUUUACAUAAGUUAGACAAGCAAUGUUAGUGGCAGAAUCAGGAUUUGAAACCAUCUUUGUUUAUUUGAACUCCAAACCCAAGGCUCUUUCCACAAUGCUAGUUCAUACCCUAGGACCUAUACAUUGGCAUAAAAAAGUCUAAAACCUCCUGGAAUUGUUUGUAUAGUUUUGUAUGUAGACACACACACACACACACAUACACACACACACACACACACACACAUACAUAUAUAUAUAUAUAUAUAUGUGUAUAUAUAUAUAUUAUUUCCUCUUUGGAGAAAGUUUUAGCUUUGAUUAAAUUUUCAAAGGGAGACAUGAUCCUCAAAAUAUUGAAGACCCCCAAAAGUCUAUUCGUAUCAUUAUUUAAAAUCUGCCUUACUGCAAAAUUAAUUUGGGAAAAUUUGCUACAUGCAUCAGUUAGCCCAGGCUGGAUGGCAUCCACCACGUCUCAGUGGGUAAAAAUGCCAAAGGUUCAUUUCACACCCAGACUCCAUGACCAUGUGAGGUAGUUAGGGUGGUAGCUUCUGGGUGGCCCACAUUCAAUGAGCUGGGAUGAUGAAGUCUCCUCUAUCUGGAAAGUCCUGUGACAUGUCAAAGACAGGGAAAAUGGAGAAUCAUCCAGGCACGGUGGCUCACGCCUGAAAUCCCAGCACUUUGGGAGGCCAAGGCAGGUGGAUUACAAGGUCAGGAGAUCGUGUCCAUCCUGGCUAACACACUGAAACCCCGUCUCUACUAAAAAUACAAAGAAAUUAGCCGGGCGUGGUGGCAGACACCUGUAGUCCCAGUUACUUGGGAGGCUGAGGCAGGAGAAUGGUGUGAACCCAGGAAGCGGAGCUUGCAGUGAGCCGAGAUCGCGCCACUGCACUCCAGCCUGGGCGACAGAGUGAGACUCCAUCAAAAAAAAAAAAAAAAAACCAAGAAAAUGGAGAAUCAGAAUCAGUGACUGGCUCCUACGUGUACCCAUAAUAUCUGUUCAUGUUUAGUUAGCCAAAGUUAGCAACAUGACCAUCUAAAGACAAAGGGUGAGAAGCAUCAUCUUUUGGGAUGCCCAAAGCAGAAGAGCAAACAUUUUUCAUAAAAGGCUAAGAGGUAGAAAUUUUCAGCUUUGUGGGCCAUUCUGUCACAACUGCUCAGUCCUAUUUUUGUAGAGUGAAAACAGCUAUAGAAAAUAAGCAAAUGGGCAUGGCUGUGUAUCAUUUGGUCCUGAGGGCUGAAGUUUAUGAAUUCCUCACCUAUAUGAUCAACAUGCAUUGGUUGCUUAGCAACAGCAAAGCUUUUUUGUGAGUUAAGGUCAAAGACAAAUUUGUCCAUUGGCUACUCAAACUAGAACUUUAGUGAUGAAGUGAAUAUUUUCAACAAAAUUCCUAUAACCUAUGUAUAAUUGUAUUCUAAAAAGUUGUAUGACUAUUUCUAAAUGAAAGCUAAGGCAUAUUAUAAUUCUACAAGGUGAAAAACAUGCUUAAAUUUAAACUUGUCUCAUAGCCUGAUUUUAUCUAUGAAAAAUAUUUGAAAUAAAUAAAAGAUUUAUAGAUUAUCCUUAAAGUAAUCAAUCAUAGAUCAAUAUUAUUUUUCAUCACUUUAUUUUUGAUUUUUUUUAUAAGUAGCUGAUACCUGGUAAGAAUAUCACAUUCUGAAUACGGAUAUUCCAUGUAUCACAGUAACAUAGACUUAAAAAAUUGAGAUUUCCUGAAAAAAGUGAGCCAACCUGCCUUGAAGAAAAUCAAAGAAACAAACCAAGAUUCUUUUCUUAUCUUUAUCGCCCACUGCAGAUGGGAGAACAGGAGCUGAAAGUGACCGAAGUGACUCAAAUAUUAGUUGGAAAGUGUUGCGACUAGAACCUAAGUCUUCUUCCUCCCAGCUCGACAUGUAUCACCAGCUUAAAAUCUCUCUGAGAAAACACAGCUUUGCACUCACAUGCACACAAGCUCAUGUGCAUACCCAGAGCACUGAGGUCAGAGAAGUGAUUCUGAAUCCUGAAGUCUACUCAAAUGCACAGUGGCACAGCCUUGACUUAGCUUAAACAUCUGAAGAGCAAUUAAUGGACACUGUCCACUUUGUGGCUACCCAGGAGGUUAGAAGAACCUUCCAUUUAUUAUCCCUUAUUCUUGAGUUUUUGUGAGAGUAUAUAUAAAUGUUAAACGAAGACUAUUGUGGAAAAGAGACAAAGUGCUCCAAUGUUGCACACAGAAAUGUAUGAUCACAUUUUUCUCUGUCCCAACAAUGGUUUAAUUACUUUCCGAGUACAAAAUGUAAUCAGACACACAAAGCAAACUUUAAAAAGUGUCUUUGCCAAACACCAUUGUGUAGGAACAAGGUGAAAGCCAUCUUCCUCCUUCUCUUCCUUGUUUCCUUCUUUCCUCCCUUUAUUUUAGAAAAAUAGGAUGUGGAGAUUUAAAUUAUUUCUAAGCCCUCCAUAGUAUCACCUCCACUUACUUUUUACAGUUAUUGCCCAUUGCUCCUCCUUGUGAAGCUUUCUAUCUUACAAUUCUGAACCAUUUCUUAUUCCUUUGUUUUGUUGCUUAAGUCUCCUUAUCA